Molecule: long non-coding RNA, 631 nt
Organism: Lontra canadensis (Northern American river otter)
Lineage: Eukaryota; Metazoa; Chordata; Mammalia; Carnivora; Mustelidae
Exons: 3
Source: RefSeq, a predicted model, not a curated record
AGCAUUGUGGCUUCAUCCUUUCUGUUUCUCUUGGCUCAUUUGUAUUACUCCCUUGAGUAUCACAUAUUAAGAGGCUCUUUUGAGAUGUCUUUAUGGCCUUUAGCCAAAAACUAUGUGCCUGAACCAAUUUAGAAGCAGAUCCUCCAGCCAUAGUCAAGCCCUCAGAUGAUUGCAGCCCCAACCAAACUCUUGACUACAACCUCAUGAGAGACCUUAAGCCAGAACCAGCCAUUCAAGCCAGUACUGAACUCCUGACCCAUAGAAAUUGUGAGAUUAUAUAUGUGUGUUGUUUUAAGCCACCAGAUUUUGGAGGCUCUCCUAUAUACAGUCCAGAGUUGGAUUUCAUUUUGUUGCAUUCUCUGUGACACAGACUCUGAGACAGAGAAUUGUGUGCAUGAGGUUUAUUAGCAAUUACCCUUGGGAUCAACACUUAUGAUGAUGUGAAGGAAGGAGGAUUGGAUAGAAGGAGAUGCUGAGCUGUAAUUAGUGUGUGCUGCUAAAUUUUUAAUAACCAAUUCUCAGAGGAAUAAAAAGCUCUGAUUUGUAACAUUUUCCAGCAUAUAAGUACUUCCAUCAUGGCCAAUUUUAAGCUAUAAAUAUGACAUCCACUGAACAUGGAUCUGGAAAGAAA